CCUAACGUGGUGUAAUCCAGGCAACACGCUUCGCACAGCGAGGAAUAGCGGGUUCAACUCCCGUCGUUAGGAC
This 73-nucleotide transfer RNA is filed under the name Pirellula sp. SH-Sr6A. Its description in RNAcentral is "tRNA-Cys". The record is from RNAcentral. Lineage: Bacteria; Pseudomonadati; Planctomycetota; Planctomycetia; Pirellulales; Pirellulaceae.